RNAcentral lists this unclassified non-coding RNA (3108 nucleotides) under Hevea brasiliensis (rubber tree). The record is from RNAcentral. Lineage: Eukaryota; Viridiplantae; Streptophyta; Magnoliopsida; Malpighiales; Euphorbiaceae.
GGAUCACACAAUUUCCCUUCGCGUCAAAGUUAGAAAGGUGCAAAUAGCUCUCAGUCUGCUCUUCAACUGCCCUAAGCAAUUGACUUUACUACUCUUUCUCUAACGUCUGGUCUUAAUUUAUUAUCGUCCUUCUCUGUCUUUCACAGUAUAUUUUCCCCCUUGUAAUUCAAUAUUUGUUUCAUCGGUGGAAAAUAUGGCGACAGAUCCUGAGCAGCCCUCUGUCUCUUCUAUCGAAAAGGUAGGAAAGUCUUCAGGUGAAAUUGGUGGUGCAGAGGAGCCUCUUCUUAAUGGGGGCACUAGCUCAGAGAACUAUUCAGUUCUUGCUGCAAUUCUCCCAUUUCUAUUUCCGGCUCUUGGAGGACUAUUAUAUGGUUAUGAUAUUGGUGCCACAUCUUGUGCUACAAUAUCUAUAGAGUCAGCCACAACAAGUGGAAUUUCAUGGUACAACUUGAAUUCUGUGGAAAUUGGGCUCAUUACCAGUGGCUCAUUAUAUGGGGCAUUGAUUGGCUCUGUCUUGGCCUUUAAUAUUGCAGAUUUUCUAGGAAGAAGAAGGGAGUUGAUUCUGGCUGCUUUGUUAUAUCUUGUUGGAGCACUUGUGACAGCAUUAGCACCUGAUUUGGUUAUCAUGGUGAUUGGACGUUUUAUAUUUGGUAUUGGAAUAGGAUUGGCAAUGCAUGCUGCGCCAAUGUACAUUGCUGAGACAGCUCCAAGUAAGAUACGUGGUCGACUAAUCUCUCUCAAAGAGUUCUUUAUAGUCCUUGGGAUGGUUGCAGGUUAUGGAAUUGGAAGCCUUUUGGUUGAUACUGUAGCUGGUUGGAGAUACAUGUACGGAGCUAGUACUCCUUUGGCAGUGAUCAUGGGAAUUGGGAUGUGGUGGUUGCCACCAUCACCUAGAUGGAUACUAUUAUCCGCCAUACAGGGCAAAGGCAAUUUGCAGGAAUUAAAAGAAACUGCAGUAUGUUGCUUAUGCCGACUCAGGGGUGAGGCUAUUGGUGACAGUGCACCUGCCCAAGUAGAAGAAAUUCUUAGCGAGCUGACUUUUGUUGGUGAAGAAAAAGAAGCUUCACUGGGGGAAAUGUUCCGAGGAAAAUGCUUGAAAGCCCUCACCAUUGGUGCAGGAUUAGUUCUUUUCCAACAGGUAUCUUUGUUAUCAGAAAUGAUAAGACAUAAUACUGAAUUUGCAACAUUUUGGAUUGUAAAUGGUCUACUUUCAUGACAGAUCACAGGGCAACCAAGUGUACUAUAUUACGCAGCCUCAAUCUUUCAAGUAUGUAGCUAGUAUUAAUUAUAAAUAGGCUACUAGAUGAUUAUCAACGUGAUAUCAUCUUCAUGAGUGUUUAGAAGUAGUGCUCUUUCAUCCUAAUCCAAUAUGAUCUGGUAGAGUGCAGGAUUUUCUGCAGCAUCUGAUGCAACACGUGUUUCAAUUCUACUUGGUUUGUUGAAGUUGAUCAUGACAGGAACAGCUGUUCUUGUUGUUGAUAGACUUGGACGGAGACCUUUACUGCUUGGUGGUGUCUCUGGGAUGGUCAUCUCUUUAUUCCUUCUGGGGUCAUAUUAUCUUUUCCUGGAUGAUGUACCGUUUGUGGCUGUAGUUGCACUGCUGUUGUAUGUUGGAUGUUAUCAGGUAAUCAAGAUUUUCUUGCCACUUAUUAACUACAUUUUUGUUCGAAAAUUUUGUGCUUCAAUGUGACUACUGUUUCUUAAGAUAUCUGUUUGAGUACUUGUGUUGAUCGGUCUGAUUUAGUAUUAGAUCUUGAGUUUACUUGUAUAUGCUGUACUUUGGUAUUAGAAAGAUACAACUGUCAUAAUCAAGAUGCCAUUGUAGGAAGAAAUUACUGCACAAUCAUACAGAGCUUCUAAUGAAUAACUUUCUUAAGCAGGCCCUUUAAACUUAUUAAGAAAGCAUCAACAUUACUAUGUUUGUAGCUCCAGAAUUUCCACUGUUAAGAAAAAUGACAAAUGCACAUAAUAAACGCAUAAGAACAAACUAAAGUGAAGAAACUAAGUUAAAUGAAGCUACUUCAUUAAAUGUUAUUUUAAAGUCUGGAUGUCAACACUAAAUGGCUUAAACAAAAGUAUCUUUUUCAAUCAAAAUUCAAUAACUCAUCAAAGUUCUACUUAGUCUAUUUCUUUGUUGUUGUUGGGCUUCUGCAAGAAAACUGGUUGGGAUACCAGUGUUAUCCACCUCAUAUUAUGUGAAUUCUUCAAUAUUGGAAUUAUAUGUCAUGAAAGCUUUCUACGUCAAUCGUCAGGGAAAAUGUUAGCCAUGUCAUUAGUCUUUGGUGAUUCUGUGAUGUACCCGAACCUGAAAUAGCAAAACCAAAUACUGGUAGACUGGUAGUAGAUAUUAAUGGGAUACUCGUGUAUGUCAAUUAUAUCAUGGCACCAGCUGGAUAUGGUGAGAUAAAGGGAGGACAAUUUACUACCUCUCUUCUUGUUGUGCAUUGUGUUUUCAAAUAUAUCUUCUACUUUUGCCAUCUGUAUUUUUGGGCUAAUGAAAUCAGUUUUGCAGUUAUCCUUUGGUCCUAUUGGUUGGCUGAUGAUUUCAGAGGUUUUCCCCUUACGCCUAAGAGGGAGAGGACUUAGUAUAGCAGUGCUUGUGAAUUUUGGUGCAAAUGCAAUCGUCACGUUUGCAUUUUCCCCUUUGAAGGCAUGGUUGGGAGCUGGAAUAUUAUUCUAUGCAUUCGGAGUAAUAGCCGUGUUGUCGCUCGUUUUCAUAUUCUUCAUUGUACCAGAGACCAAGGGGCUUACUCUCGAGGAAAUCGAGGCCAAAUGCUUGUAGACAAGCUUUGUACACAUAACCAGAGUGUGACUUCUAUGGAUUUUGAAUCAAAACAAGUAGGUUCUGUUGUGAGAAUUUCACUAAUAUAUGCAGAAGCAGGCAUGCUUUUUUUAGUCUAUGCAGUGUCACAGUAAAUAUUUGAUGUUUCUUUAUUGUCAACAAGAUUAGCAACAUCAUAUAUGCUCUUCUUUAUUAAUGUAGAUAACCCUACUUUUAUAUUUAUGUUCCUAAUUCUAUUGUUUUUCAUCCUAAAAAAUAUAUGGAUGGAUUUACGCGGGUGCGAGUGUCUGUUUGACAUUGUUAUUUGAGCUACUGUUAAAAAAAAU